AUACGCUCAUGUCUCCUUCCUCCAUCGAAGCAAAACCACUGAGAUCAUCCACUCCACCCUACAUCCCACCUGGGACCAGACCAUUAUAUUUGAUGAGGUUGAAAUCUUUGGGGAGCCCCAAACAGUUCUUCAGAACCCACCCAAAGUUAUCAUAGAACUUUUUGAUAACGACCAAGUGGUAGGUAAUCUGGAAGUUUAAGGUGACUUGGGGACAUGAUAGUAGUGUGCAGAGCUGUGUGAUCAGGAAUGUGAGUGUGGUCUCCUUCUCUAGGGCAAAGAUGAAUUUUUAGGUCGAAGCAUUUGCUCUCCACUGGUGAAACUGACAUCACACCGAAGCUUCUCUGGCAUCCCAUUAUGAAUGGAGACAAGGCCUGUGGAAACAUCCUGGUCACGGCAGAGCUGAUUCUGAGGAACAAGUUCACAGGAUGGCUCCAACCUUCCCAUCCUCCCCUCUCAGAGAGCACCAAACUUGUACAUGGUCCCUCAGGGGAUCAGACCUGUGGUUCAGCUCACUGCCAUUGAGAUCCUAGCUUGGGGCUUAAGAAAUAUGAAAAACUACCAGAUGGCAUCCAUCACAUCACCCAGUCUCGUGGUGGAGUAUGGAGGAGAGAGAGUAGAAUCGGUGGUGAUCAAAUGCCUGAAGAACACACCCAACUUCCCAAGCUCUGUUCUCUUCAUGAAAGUGGUACAGUAUCUAGACUGUACACGAGCCCACGUGGAAAACCCACGUGUAAGGGUGGAAAAACCCAGCCUUACAGUAAA
Long non-coding RNA from Apodemus sylvaticus (European woodmouse), 762 nucleotides. RefSeq lists it as uncharacterized. Lineage: Eukaryota; Metazoa; Chordata; Mammalia; Rodentia; Muridae. The record is from RefSeq and is a predicted model, not a curated record. The transcript has 3 exons.